CUGCAGUAACAUUUGCUCCAUUGCCGACUCAAAGGGUCAUGUCACCUUCCCUCAACCUCCUACUUUCUAUCAGACCCUGUAUUGAGGUACAUAUAUGAGCACUUGAGCCAAAGUCCAAUACCCAAUUAGAAGUAGAAGAAACCAUAAGGUUAGAUUCAAUUAUGAGCAUACUUUCAAAAGGCUUAUCACUUUUUUUGAUCUUUAGGCUCUCUAGGUAUUUAGGAUAGUUCAUCCUCCAGUGGCUUUCAGCAUGACAGUGAAAAUACUUUUUCUUUACCUCGGCUGCCUUUGGACCAUCCUUCUUCUUCUUACUCUCUUUCUUUUGCUUCUUUGUAGAUU
Molecule: long non-coding RNA, 339 nt
Filed under: Elaeis guineensis (African oil palm)
Lineage: Eukaryota; Viridiplantae; Streptophyta; Magnoliopsida; Arecales; Arecaceae
Description: long non-coding RNA (EGUI_LNC024099)
Source: RNAcentral